GGUUCGGGAUAGUGGGUACGUAAGAAAAAAGUGUUAGGCACCCCUUACACCUAUUCUAAUCUCGUUAAUUCGAAUGCUAGUCCUCUACUAAUGUUUUUAGAAGUCUUGUUUAUCAUUCCUAUAUUUAAACUUUAUCCUAAAAAUGCAAUUCUAAUCCUAUACACGCAAGUAAUUCACAAAAGGGUUGUUGUUUACAAACAAUUUUCAUGCACAAGUAAUUUCUAUCUAUGGGCUUGCUAAUUAUGUAAAUGAUAUUUACUAGAUGACUAAAAUUAAUUCAUUAUUGAGAAUUUAAUUUACAAAUAAAUUCAAUUUUAAAUAACCCUACGUUUCUAUUUGACCUAAUUAAUUAAUUUUCACCAAAUUACCCUA
RNAcentral lists this unclassified non-coding RNA (372 nucleotides) under Hevea brasiliensis (rubber tree). The record is from RNAcentral. Lineage: Eukaryota; Viridiplantae; Streptophyta; Magnoliopsida; Malpighiales; Euphorbiaceae.